This is an unclassified non-coding RNA of Pongo abelii (Sumatran orangutan), 117 nucleotides long. It matches the Rfam family "Metazoan signal recognition particle RNA". From Rfam's summary of the family: The signal recognition particle (SRP) is a universally conserved ribonucleoprotein. It is involved in the co-translational targeting of proteins to membranes. The record is from Ensembl. NCBI's taxonomy places the organism in Eukaryota, Metazoa, Chordata, Mammalia, Primates, Hominidae.
GCCAGGCGUGGUGGUGCACGCCUGUAGUCCCAACAAUUUGGGAGGCUGAGGCAGGAGAAUAGCUUGAGCCCAGGGGUUAGAGACCAGCCUGGGCAACAGAGCAAGACCCUGUCUCUA